CCCCAUAUGCUGAUGACCAAGGUUUUCAUCCGAUGCAAAAUUCGAUGCACGCCCGGAAGACCCGCCUCUGCGGUACCAUGACCUUCACUCCUUGAAUCCAUAGCCCUUCUUGUCAUCGUGUUGUUCACCGAAGUGGAGCUCCCAAUAGCUCCCGAUCAUACCUCCAUAUGAUCUAAUCCCUCACGGGACUAUGUCGUGUGUAUCGCAUUGCCACGAACUGUUCCACCACGAUCCACUGUACCAUGUCGCCUCCUGGUGACAUCUCCAUUGCAUUCUGAUCCUUGUGGAAUAAACUCGAAUUGUGAACCCUCCAUGUGUGGCCUCUGCCAAUACAUCGCAGG
This 341-nucleotide long non-coding RNA is filed under the name Musa acuminata (dwarf banana). RNAcentral's name for it is "long non-coding RNA (MACU_LNC010573)". Lineage: Eukaryota; Viridiplantae; Streptophyta; Magnoliopsida; Zingiberales; Musaceae. The record is from RNAcentral.